UUUUUUGUUCCUUAUGAGGCCCCACAAGUUCAAAUUCUUUGUCACAAUGCAAUCGGUGGUUUUUAUGUCAUUGUGGAUGGAAGGGUUGUUGAAAGAUACUCUAGUUAAGUUAGUUGUUCGUUUUUAAAUUUAUACUCUUGCGUUACAAAAAUAAAGUUUAUGUCUUGACACCAACAAUUUUCUUAUAAAAUAUAAUAAAAAAUCUAAUCAAAACCACAUUAAAAUAUUAUUCAAAAUGAUAGCACAUCUAAAAUUCUAAAAUAACAAAAUAAAACGGACAUUGGAAAAAAAAAGUUUACAAAAACACAAAAACUAAGUAGAAGAAGUAACAUUUAAGCAUAUAUCCAUUGAAGAAGACUACACACUUAAAAGCUCCCUAGAAACCUGCUCCAUGGUAGGGCGAGAUUGUGGACUAUCAACCAAACAAGAAAUUGUUGUCUUUGCAAUGCAUACUAACUCCUUAGCUUGUCGAUGAUUCACCGGACGAGAGAGACGUUGAUCCAACUUAUUCAUCAAUGGCAUACU
RNAcentral lists this long non-coding RNA (525 nucleotides) under Trifolium pratense (red clover). RNAcentral's name for it is "long non-coding RNA (TPRA_LNC007217)". The record is from RNAcentral. Lineage: Eukaryota; Viridiplantae; Streptophyta; Magnoliopsida; Fabales; Fabaceae.